CCUACGGGUGGCAGCAGUGAGGAAUAUUGGUCAAUGGGCGCUAGCCUGAACCAGCCAAGUCGCGUGAAGGAUGACUGCCCUAUGGAUUGUAAACUUCUUUUAUAUGGGAAUAAAGUGCAGUAUGUAUACUGCUUUGCAUGUACCUGAUGAAUAAGGAUCGGCUAACUCCGUGCCAGCAGCCGCGGUAAUACGGAGGAUCCGGGCGUUAUCCGGAUUUAUUGGGUUUAAAGGGUGCGUAGGCGGGUUGUUAAGUCAGUUGUGAAAGUUUGCGGCUCAACCGUAAUAGUGCAGUUGAAACUGGCAUUCUUGAGUACAGGAGAGGUAUGCGGAAUGCGUGGUGUAGCGGUGAAAUGCGUAGAUAUCACGAAGAACUCCGAUUGCGAAGGCAGCCUGCUGGACUGUAACUGACGCUGAUGCUCGAAAGUGUGGGUAUCAAACAGGAUUAGAUACCCCAGUAGUC
This 460-nucleotide ribosomal RNA is filed under the name uncultured bacterium. RNAcentral's name for it is "partial 16S ribosomal RNA". It matches the Rfam family "Bacterial small subunit ribosomal RNA", at positions 338 to 795 of the family's 1533-position model. The record is from RNAcentral.